AUGCCUCCCACCACCAAGUUCCUCCUCCUCCUCCUCCUCCCCGUGGCAACAGCCGCCGCAACCUUUGCUCUCGGCCAUGGCACCGGCACCGGCACAGCUGUCUGCGUGCCGCGGGAGCGUGAUGCCCUGCUGGCGUUCAAACGCGGUGUCACACAUGACCCCUCGGGCCGCCUUGCCUCGUGGCGGCGAGGCAGCGACUGCUGCCGGUGGAGGGGCGUAAGGUGCAGCAACCGGACUGGCCACGUCCUCCAGCUUCGACUUGGAAAUAGCUACUCGUACUUUGAUCAGGAAUUUUAUACUGGUCGGAUAACAUCUUUGGAUGGCCAGAUAAGUCCAUCUCUAUUUUCUUUGGAGCAUUUGGAGCACCUUGAUCUCGCCUGCAAUUUUCCGUAUAUAUGUAGCAAUUGCGGUCAUGUUCCAAAACUAUGGGGCUCUCUAAAAAACUUGAGAUACCUGAACCUCCCAUGUACAAGUCGAUGA
Molecule: ribosomal RNA, 480 nt
Filed under: Triticum aestivum (bread wheat)
Lineage: Eukaryota; Viridiplantae; Streptophyta; Magnoliopsida; Poales; Poaceae
Description: partial small subunit ribosomal RNA
Source: RNAcentral